This 1927-nucleotide ribosomal RNA is filed under the name human gut metagenome. Its description in RNAcentral is "bacterial LSU rRNA". It matches the Rfam family "Bacterial large subunit ribosomal RNA", at positions 3 to 1973 of the family's 2925-position model. The record is from RNAcentral.
UCAAGUGACUAAGUGCAUGUGGCGGAUGCCUUGGCGAUCACAGGCGAAGAAAGACGCGGCAGCCUGCGAAAAGCUGCGGGGAGCUGGCAAACGAGCUUUGAUCCGCAGAUAUCUGAAUGGGGGAACCCACACCGCAAGGUGUAUCCGUAGCUGAAUACAUAGGUUACGGAGGCGAACGAGGAGAACUGAAACAUCUAAGUAUCCUCAGGAAAAGAAAUCAACCGAGAUUCCGGCAGUAGCGGCGAGCGAACCCGGAGGAGCCCAGCUUUUGAUAGUACGAACUUUAGCCGAAAGGUCCUGGAAAGGCCUGCUAUAGUGGGUGAUAGCCCCGUAGGCGAAAGAGUUGGUACGGUACUAAGGAAGCGAGAAGUAGAGCGGGACACGUGGAAUCCUGUUCGAAGACGGGGGGACCAUCCUCCAAGGCUAAAUACUCGUGAUCGACCGAUAGUGAACCAGUACCGUGAGGGAAAGGCGAAAAGAACCCCGGGAGGGGAGUGAAAUAGAACCUGAAACCGCAUGCAUACAAACAGUAGGAGCCUCGUCAGAGGUGACUGCGUACCUUUUGCAUAAUGGGUCAGCGACUUACAUUCUGUGGCGAGCUUAACCGAAUAGGGGAGGCGCAGCGAAAGCGAGUUCGAAAUGAGCGUUCAGUCGCAGGGUGUAGACCCGAAACCAGAUGAGCUAUCCAUGGCCAGGUUGAAGGUGUGGUAACACACACUGGAGGACCGAACCGACUAGUGUUGCAAAAUUAGCGGAUGAGCUGUGGAUAGGGGUGAAAGGCCAAACAAAUCUGGAGAUAGCUGGUUCUCCCCGAAAACUAUUGAGGUAGUGCCUCGUGUGUCGCUCCAGGGGGUAGAGCACUGUUUUGGCUAGGGGGGCAUGGAGUCUUACCAAACCAAGGCAAACUCCGAAUACCUGGAAGCGUAAGCACGGGAGACAGAGCACCGGGUGCUAACGUCCGGACUCAAAAGGGAAACAACCCAGACCGCCGGCUAAGGUCCCAAAUAACAGCUAAGUGGAAAACGAAGUGGAAAGGCCGUGACAACCAGGAAGUUGGCUUAGAAGCAGCCAUCCUUCAAAGAAAGCGUAAUAGCUCACUGGUCGAGUCCUUCUGCGCGGAAGAUGUAACGGGGCUAAGCUGUUAACCGAAGCCGCGGAUGCACUGGUUAUCCAGUGCGUGGUAGGGGAGCGUUCUGUAAGUCUGCGAAGGCGGUUCGAGAGGACUGCUGGAGAUAUCAGAAGUGCGAAUGCUGACAUGAGUAACGUUAAAGCAGGUGAAAAGCCUGCUCGCCGUAAGCCCAAGGAUUCCUGCUCUACGUUCAUCGGAGCAGGGUGAGUCGGCUCCUAAGGUCAGGCCGAAAGGCGUAGCCGAUGGGAAUCAGGUUAAUAUUCCUGAACCUGCGUCAGAUGCGAUGGGGGGACGGAGCAUGGAAGAUCAUCCGGGUGUUGGAAGUCCCGGUUGUUGAGCGUAGGAGGUCUGCAGGCAAAUCCGCAGACGCAUCUCCAAGGCAAAGACACGUGCCGCCACGGCGGCGAAGUGAUCGGAAGUGCUUCCAAGAAAAGCCUCUAAGCCCCAGUCUGACGCGGACCGUACCGCAAACCGACACUGGUGGGCGAGCUGAAUAUGCUCAGGCGCUUGAGAGAACUCGGGAGAAGGAACUCGGCAAAUUGACACCGUAACUUCGGAAGAAGGUGUGCCGUAGUACCGUGAGAGGAGAGACACCUUGAGCGGGAAACGGUCUCAGAGAAUAGGUGGCUGCGACUGUUUAUUAAAAACACAGCACUCUGCAAAGUCGAAAGACGACGUAUAGGGUGUGAUGCCUGCCCGGUGCUGGAAGAUUAAUUGAUGGGGUGAGAGCCCUUGAUCGAAGUCCCAGUAAACGGCGGCCGUAACUAUAACGGUCCUAAGGUAGCGAAAUUCCUUGUC